Molecule: unclassified non-coding RNA, 217 nt
Filed under: uncultured fungus
Lineage: Eukaryota; Fungi
Description: sequence contains ITS1
Source: RNAcentral
GUCUUUUGGUUAUUUAUAAAGGUGUGUAUGUAGAUGUAAAAAGUGAAGAGGGGUUAAGAAAGAAAAAAGUUUGAACGAGGUCGCGCCCGAAAAAAAUCUCUCUUCUUCUGGAGAGACCUCGAACAAGGGGCACAAAAGGGGUGUAAGUCUAGAGAAGAAAGAAAAAAAGGAUUUUUCUUUUCCCAUGAUGAUCCUUCCGCAGGUUCACCUACGGAAA